AAAUGGGCCAGCUACAUUUUCUGGUUGUAAAGCAGACCCCAAUAUCCAGAAUUCAUAGUGAUUUCAAGAUGUGAAGAACUGCCCCGUGGAGGUGUAUCCAAUUGAACAGAAAAAUCGAAAUCUCUGUUUGUAGCCAGAGGAUUUUGAAACGGAACUGAAGUCUCAACUGAUGAGGUUGCCAUAUCGUCGAACAUUGAAAAGGGAUGCUAAUUCCAUCGUUUCCCCCCUUCACUUCAAAGAGGAAGGCAUCCGAUCAGCCAAAAUCAGUGCAGCAGAAAAGAGGACAAGCUGAGGUAAGGUAGCUAAUGUUACCUAGCUAGCUAGGGAACCUACAUUUGUUUAUCUAAACUAAAAUCUAGCCAGCUAGCGUUCAUAAUACGCUGGCUAGACAUUCCAAAGCAUACCAAUGUAAAUAGCCAGCUGCUAGUUGGCAUGCUAACUGCAGGAAUGUCCACCAGGGCUGUUGCCAGGGAACUGAAUGUCCAUUUUUCUACCAUAAGCCGCCUCCAACAUCAUUUUUUUAGAAUUUGGCAGUGUAUAAAACUGGCCUCACAACCGCAGACCAUGUGUAACCACGCCAGCCCAAGACCUCCAUACGGGCUUCUUCACCUGCAGGAUCGUCCAAGUGUGACUUGUUACUUUGCAAUCUAACAUUAGCUUCGUGUCGCGUCUACUCCCACUCCUCCCCUCCGGCAUUCAAAGUCGUGUGACUUGUCAACGUGUGACUUGUCUGUCAACGUGUGACUUGUUACUUUGCAAUCUAGCAUUAGCUUCGUGUCGCGUCUACUCCCGCUCCCACCCUCCAGCAUUCAAAGUCGUGUGACUUCUUACUUUGCAAUCUAACAUUAGCUUCGUGUCGGGUCUACUCCUGCUCCUCGCCUCCGGCAUUCAAAGUCGCCGGUAUACUAACCACCGGUCCUGGGAUCCAUCAUUAUGCACACCUGGCAUCAAUCAUUAUGCACACCUGCACGUCAUCAUGAGGCACACCUGGACUCCAUUACCUCCCCUAUAUCUGGCACUACCUUAGGUUAUUUCACCAGUCAGUAUUUUUUUUUCCUGUGUUUAUGCAUAGACAAUACUGUUAUGUUGUCUCGGUCCACAUUUGCUGUUUUAUUAAAUGUUUCACCUGCUUCUCAUCUCUCAGCAUCUCUGUUACACUUCAUUAGGUCACGUUAGCUAGGUAGCGAACUAACUAUUGCAGAGCCGGAGGCAAACGACAUGACUGUUCUAUUUAGUCUGAUCCCAUCAAUCUGUAGAGGCAUCAACAACAAGCUCAGCACCAGGAACUAGUGAGACUUGCAAGUACAAACAAAUCUUCUGCAAGAGGUUGAGUAGAGUGGGUGGUGAAGAGUGUAUGAGAGGCUUGUCCACCUGGCUAUGGAGUGCAGAAAGGACCAGACGGUUGUCUACAAGGAGCCAGAGUCACUGCCCCCCAAUCCCAACAUCUCUGCCAACAUCACCACAGCCUAAACCAGCUGCCAUUACCAAACACAAGAGUUUCACCAGCUGAAGAACAUUCUGGAACUUGCCUGGAACAUUCAACCAACACAACAUCCAUAGUCAGACUGAUAUUGUAGUAUAAUAUAGAAAUCCUAGUAUGCUCACAACUGAAAUUUGCUAUAGAAAGUGCUAGGCUGUUGUACAAAUAUAUAUUUAAACACAACAUGUAAAGUGUUGGUCCUAUGUUUCAUGAGCUGAAAUAAAAGAUCCCAGAAAAUGUC
This is a long non-coding RNA of Oncorhynchus nerka (sockeye salmon), 1721 nucleotides long. RefSeq lists it as uncharacterized. Lineage: Eukaryota; Metazoa; Chordata; Actinopteri; Salmoniformes; Salmonidae. The record is from RefSeq and is a predicted model, not a curated record. The transcript is spliced from 2 exons.